Molecule: transfer RNA, 152 nt
Filed under: Neolewinella aquimaris
Lineage: Bacteria; Pseudomonadati; Bacteroidota; Saprospiria; Saprospirales; Lewinellaceae
Description: Lewinella aquimaris tRNA-Asp
Source: RNAcentral
UGUAGGGUGAUGAAAUUGGCAGCCAUGCCCGCUUGUCUCGCGGGUGGGGAGGCCGGAACAAACCACCGUUCAAUGCUCCGCGUGAGCGCGGCUCUUCGGAGCCAUGAAUAGUGGCUAACCGCCCCGUGCAGGUUCGACUCCUGCCCCUACAG